This 70-nucleotide transfer RNA is filed under the name Campylobacterota bacterium. Its description in RNAcentral is "Epsilonproteobacteria bacterium tRNA-Thr". It matches the Rfam family "tRNA". From Rfam's summary of the family: Transfer RNA (tRNA) molecules are approximately 80 nucleotides in length. The record is from RNAcentral. Lineage: Bacteria; Pseudomonadati; Campylobacterota.
CUUAGCUCAGAGGAAGAGCACUUGCUUGGUAAGUAAGAGGCCAUGAGUUCGAUUCUCAUAGUCGGCACCA